Molecule: ribosomal RNA, 400 nt
Filed under: uncultured bacterium
Lineage: Bacteria
Description: bacterial SSU rRNA
Rfam family: Bacterial small subunit ribosomal RNA
Source: RNAcentral
UGGGGAAUCUUGCGCAAUGGGCGAAAGCCUGACGCAGCGACGCCGCGUGGGUGAUGAAGGCCCUCGGGUUGUAAAGCCCUGUGGGGAGGAACGAACCGUUCGGGGGUGAACAUCCUCCGAGCUUGACGGUACCUCCUUAGCAAGCAUCGGCUAACUCUGUGCCAGCAGCCGCGGUAAGACAGAGGAUGCGAACGUUGCUCGGAAUUACUGGGCGUAAAGCGCGCGCAGGUUGCCUUGUAAGUCGUGUGUGAAAUCCCUCUGCUCAACGGAGGAAGUGCACGGGAUACUGCAAGGCUGGAGUACAGAAGAGGACAGCGGAAUUCCCGGUGUAGAGGUGAAAUUCGUAGAUAUCGGGAGGAACACCAGUGGCGAAGGCGGCUGUCUGGGCUGAUACUGACAC